This 468-nucleotide ribosomal RNA is filed under the name uncultured bacterium. RNAcentral's name for it is "partial 16S ribosomal RNA". It matches the Rfam family "Bacterial small subunit ribosomal RNA", at positions 28 to 507 of the family's 1533-position model. The record is from RNAcentral.
GACGAACGCUGGCGGCGUGCUUAACACAUGCAAGUCGAACGGAAAGGCCCUGCUUUUGUGGGGUGCUCGAUUGGCGAACGGGUGAGUAACACGUGAGUAACCUGCCCUUGACUUUGGGAUAACUUCAGGAAACUGGGGCUAAUACCGGAUAGGAGCUCCUGCUGCAUGGUGGGGGUUGGAAAGUUUCGGCGGUUGGGGAUGGACUCGCGGCUUAUCAGCUUGUUGGUGGGGUAGUGGCUUACCAAGGCUUUGACGGGUAGCCGGCCUGAGAGGGUAACCGGCGACAUGGGGACUGAGAGACGGCCCAGAAUCCUACGGGAGGCAGCAGUGGGGAAUAUUGCACAAUGGGCGGAAGCCUGAUGCAGCAACGCCGCGUGCGGGAUGACGGCCUUCGGGUUGUAAACCGCUUUCGCCUGUGACGAAGCGUGAGUGACGGUAAUGGGUAAAGAAGCACCGGCUAACUACGUG